CCUACGGGGUGCUGCAGUGAGGAAUCUUGGUCAAUGGCCGCAGGGCUGAACCAGCCAAGUCGCGUGAGGGAUGACGGUCCUAUGGAUUGUAAACCUCUUUUGUCAGGGAGCAAAGGGCGCCACGUGUGGCGUUUUGCGAGUACCUGAAGAAAAAGCAUCGGCGAACUCCGUGCCAGCAGCCGCGGUAAUACGGAGGAUGCGUGCGUUAUCCGGAUUUAUUGGGUGAAAAGGGUGCGCAGGCGGAAUGGCAAGUCAGGGGUAAAAUUUCGGGGCUCAACCCCGUCGUGCCGUUGAAACUGGCGUUCUUGAGUGAGCGAGAGGUAUGCGGAAUGCGUGGUGUAGCGGUGAAAUGCAUAGAUAUCACGCAGAACUCCGAUUGCGAAGGCAGGAUACCGGCGCUCAACUGACGCUCAUGCACGAAAGCGUGGGUAUCGAACAGGAUUAGAUACCCUGGUAGUC
This 459-nucleotide ribosomal RNA is filed under the name uncultured bacterium. RNAcentral's name for it is "partial 16S ribosomal RNA". It matches the Rfam family "Bacterial small subunit ribosomal RNA", at positions 338 to 795 of the family's 1533-position model. The record is from RNAcentral.